GAAAUUUUUUGUUCUCACUCAGCAGGAAGACACCAUGUCUUUGGAAAAAAGUUGUAGUCCUUUGGGAAGAGGCGCAGCAUGCGAUUGAGAUUUCUUGCAAGUAAAUCUUUACGACAGAUCUCCGUCAUGCCAGGAAAGUGGUUGACCUUCUGGAACCUCUUCAUGUCCUUCGCCCUCUCUAUGCUGAUGCUCAAGUCGGUCCAAUAGAGAUUCCAACUACUGUCUUCUGUAACUUCCUUCAUACCAAACUUAGCCGCUACUCUUCUCACAACUUCGUAUUUGCAGUUGCUCGUACAAAUGACUUGGGUGGCCUGUUCUGUUCCAUCUUCUUUGAAUCCAAGCUGGUUUCUGGUUGCAAAGCGACGCUAUCUUCUUUGAUCAUUUCGCUGAUUGAAAUACUCUUUCUACCAGGGUUGAGUAGCGUGAUUGAAUUCUUUGGAGUAUUGGACUCAUGUUUUCCAUCCAGUUUGGUAGAUUUUGAUGCAUCAUUCGAGAGGAGCAGCCUUUUGUAACUACUAUCGGAGGUUGUUUUAAGCGAUUUGACUUCACCGACAGAACAAGAAUUGCCACCGUCACCGCUGUCCACAGAAUCUUCUCUCGCCACCUCCCCAUAUUCUUUAACAUUACGUAAGACUACCAGAGGUCGUUUAUCAUUACCACCCCCAGUUAUGAUGUUCAUGACAAAUUAGAUCACCAUAUUAUUCCUUAUCGACCGAUCAUUCGUCAAUCAUUUAUCCAUUCGUAUGGUGAAUCGGCUAUUCAAACAUGGAGGGUACCGUCUAAAGGGGAAUAAAUAAGAAACAGGCAAAACAUUGCUAAUUUAAAACGCUAAAGGUGAUUUAAAAAGGGGAAAAUAACCAUCAUUAUCCCCUCAAAUUAGUUGAUCUUCGAUUGCGUGAAAAAGAACAAUUGAACGUGCAGAAUUCGAUAUUUUUCAGAGAUCGAAACGCUACUAACUUCAAAUAAAUUGUACGAGAGGAAAAAGAAUUCGCCGCGCAACAAUAAGUGGAAAGUUUGA
RNAcentral lists this unclassified non-coding RNA (1018 nucleotides) under Athalia rosae (coleseed sawfly). RNAcentral's name for it is "misc RNA ENSAEAG00005011136.1". Lineage: Eukaryota; Metazoa; Arthropoda; Insecta; Hymenoptera; Athaliidae. The record is from RNAcentral.